GGAUAACAUACCGAAAGGUAUGCUAAUACGGGAUAAUAUAUUUGAGAGGCAUCUCUUGAAUAUCAAAGGUGAGCCAGUACAGGAUGGACCCGCGUCUGAUUAGCUAGUUGGUAAGGUAAAGGCUUACCAAGGCGACGAUCAGUAGCCGACCUGAGAGGGUGAUCGGCCACAUUGGAACUGAGACACGGUCCAAACUCCUACGGGAGGCAGCAGUGGGGAAUAUUGCACAAUGGGCGAAAGCCUGAUGCAGCAACGCCGCGUGAGUGAUGAAGGCCUUCGGGUCGUAAAACUCCGUCCUCAAGGAAGAUAAUGACGGUACUUGAGGAGGAAGCCCCGGCUAACUACGUGCCAGCAGCCGCGGUAAUACGUAGGGGGCUAGCGUUAUCCGGAUUUACUGGGCGUAAAGGGUGCGUAGGCGGUCUUUCAAGUCAGGAGUGAAAGGCUACGGCUCAACCGUAGUAAGCUCUUGAAACUGGGAGACUUGAGUGCAGGAGAGGAGAGUGGAAUUCCUAGUGUAGCGGUGAAAUGCGUAGAUAUUAGGAGGAACACCAGUUGCGAAGGCGGCUCUCUGGACUGUAACUGACGCUGAGGCACGAAAGCGUGGGGAGCAAACAGGAUUAGAUACCCUGGUAGUCCACGCUGUAAACGAUGAGUACUAGGUGUCGGGGGUUACCCCCUUCGGUGCCGCAG
This 690-nucleotide ribosomal RNA is filed under the name uncultured bacterium. RNAcentral's name for it is "bacterial SSU rRNA". It matches the Rfam family "Bacterial small subunit ribosomal RNA", at positions 141 to 851 of the family's 1533-position model. The record is from RNAcentral.